CAGGUUCUAGACGCCCCAUCACUUCAAGAUGACUUUUACUUAAACCUAGUGGAUUGGUCCUUUCAAAAUGUUCUUGCAGUUGGAUGGGGCACCUGUGUUUAUCUGUGGAGUGCAUCAAACAACAAAGUAACGAAGUUAUGUGACUUGGGACCUAAUGAUGGCGUGUGUUCCGUCCAAUGGACCCGAGAGGGUUCAUACAUAUCUAUUGGUACAAAUUUUGGUCAAGUUCAGGUCUUGGAUGGGACUCAGUGCAAGAAAGUCUGAACCAUGGCCGGGCAUCAAACAAGAACUGGAGUCUUGGAAUGGAAUUCACGUAUAUUAGCUUUUGGAAGUAGGGACCGCAACAUACUUCAACAUGAUCUUCGGAUUCCAAAUGACUUCAUCAGCAAGCUAGUUGGUCACCAGUCUGAGUGAUGACAGGGAACUUGCAUCUGGCUGCAAUGAUAAUCAGCUACUGGUCUGGAACCAGCAAUCUCAGCAACCCGCUCUGAGACUGACAGAGCACACAGCUGCUCUCAAGGCCAUUGCUUGGUCGCCCCACCAAAGUGGCCUUCUUGAAUUUGGAGGAUGAACAGCUGAUCGAUGUUAUUCGCUUCUGGAACACCACAAAUGGUCACCAAUUGAACAUUGUUGAUACGGGAAGCCAAGUAAUUUCUUUUUCUUUUUUUUUUUUUUUUGUCUAUAUACAUUAAAUUCCAAUGACUUUUAGUAAGACUACGUUAUCAUAUCAUAUAGAAGAUGUGAAUGGUCAAAACAACCUAUGGAUUCCUUUGAAGGGGGGGGGAGGGGG
Juglans microcarpa x Juglans regia is the source of this 790-nucleotide RNA transcript. It is a transcript of the gene named protein FIZZY-RELATED 3-like, with no coding region annotated. The record is from RefSeq and is a predicted model, not a curated record. The transcript has 5 exons. NCBI's taxonomy places the organism in Eukaryota, Viridiplantae, Streptophyta, Magnoliopsida, Fagales, Juglandaceae.